This 741-nucleotide long non-coding RNA is filed under the name Rattus norvegicus (Norway rat). RNAcentral describes it as "long non-coding RNA NONRATT030967". Lineage: Eukaryota; Metazoa; Chordata; Mammalia; Rodentia; Muridae. The record is from RNAcentral.
ACUGCUAGGUUGCCUUGGCUCUCAGGUAACUGUUGUGGAUUCUGUUCUGUGCACUCAGCUCCAGUGCUCUCCUGCUUCUGCUUCUUCGCACUCAGUGAUCUAACCAUUAACCUUCUCGUGGCCUCACUCCUCACUACCCCCCACAAAGAUUCCCAAGCUUCUGUCAGUCCUACUUAUUGUAAAAUCCAGCCAAACCUCCAGAACAAUGUUUCCUUGAUGUUUGGGUUUACUGUGUCUGCCUUUCCCAUGAUGCUCUAAGCUUGAAAGUCCCAUGAGGACAAGAUGGUUUUCUCUUACUCUCCUAUCCUGUACUUUUUAGGUCCUCAAAUAAAUAGAAUCCUCUGCUGUUUUAUACUUCUGGAAGUGCAGUCCUCAUAUGAAUAUUUCUCUCUUUAUCACUGCCAUCAAAAACCUAGGCCUUUUGUCUGCUGUAUGGUAAAAGACUUAUUUUCACUUGUCACUUUGCCAUCAGUCUCCCCUCCCCCGCACCCCGGUUUCUUCUAAGUUAGCUUCAUAGCUAGAGGAAAAUGCUUUGGUUCUCCUUCUUCCCCAGCCACCCUGGCAGCUUUCUUUUGUGUCUCUGCUGAUGUCAUCCAUGGGUCUCGUGUUUAUUCUUAUACUCAUCAGAACAAUAGACAUACUGUGUCUGUCCUUUGUACUUUCUGGAUCUUCCAUUAUAUUACAUGAUAAUUUAUAUGCUAGUGUUUUCCUUAAUGAGCAGAGUUUAGAUGACCCACCGAA